RNAcentral lists this ribosomal RNA (49 nucleotides) under Lactarius gracilis. Its description in RNAcentral is "partial 28S ribosomal RNA". Lineage: Eukaryota; Fungi; Basidiomycota; Agaricomycetes; Russulales; Russulaceae. The record is from RNAcentral.
UUGACCUCAAAUCGGGUGAGACUACCCGCUGAACUUAAGCAUAUCAUAA